This 253-nucleotide ribosomal RNA is filed under the name uncultured bacterium. RNAcentral's name for it is "partial 16S ribosomal RNA". It matches the Rfam family "Bacterial small subunit ribosomal RNA", at positions 524 to 776 of the family's 1533-position model. The record is from RNAcentral.
UACGUAGGGUGCGAGCGUUGUCCGGAAUUACUGGGCGUAAAGAGCUCGUAGGUGGUUUGUCGCGUUGUUCGUGAAAUCCCACGGCUUAACUGUGGGCGUGCGGGCGAUACGGGCAGGCUGGAGUACUGCAGGGGAGACUGGAAUUCCUGGUGUAGCGGUGGAAUGCGCAGAUAUCAGGAGGAACACCGGUGGCGAAGGCGGGUCUCUGGGCAGUAACUGACGCUGAGGAGCGAAAGCGUGGGGAGCGAACAGG